This 67-nucleotide transfer RNA is filed under the name Marmota monax (woodchuck). Its description in RNAcentral is "tRNA.Ala". Lineage: Eukaryota; Metazoa; Chordata; Mammalia; Rodentia; Sciuridae. The record is from RNAcentral.
GGAUUGUGGCUCAGUGGUAGAGUGCUUGCUUAGCAUACAUGAGACAUGGGUUCUAUUCUCAGCACCA